This 230-nucleotide long non-coding RNA is filed under the name Brassica rapa (field mustard). RNAcentral's name for it is "long non-coding RNA (BRAP_LNC006764)". The record is from RNAcentral. Lineage: Eukaryota; Viridiplantae; Streptophyta; Magnoliopsida; Brassicales; Brassicaceae.
AGGAUUCUUUUUUUUUUUGGCAAAAUGGUAAAGAUUAUUUAUGUUCAGAGCAUGGCCAAAAUAAUCGGAUUAAAAUUUUUUACCUCAAAAUGAUCUAAAUUUAAAGAUACCGACCUCAUUGGGUGAAAGAUGUCAAUCCAAAUCUUACAUCGGACAUUUAGUCAAAUAAUAUCUUACUAGAUUAAUAUCUACGCCUUGCGGAUGAUAAAUUUAUAUGAAAAUUAUUUAAG